Oncorhynchus mykiss (rainbow trout) is the source of this 6096-nucleotide long non-coding RNA. The record is from Ensembl. NCBI's taxonomy places the organism in Eukaryota, Metazoa, Chordata, Actinopteri, Salmoniformes, Salmonidae.
AUGACAGCUCUGUUUCUAGUUCCAACAGACAUGACAGCUCUGUUUCUAGUUCCAACAGACAUGACAGCUCUGUUUCUAGUUCCAACAGACAUGGCAGCUCUACUUCUAGUUCCAACAGACUUGACAGCUCUGUUUCUAGUUCCAACAGACAUGACAGCUCUGUUUCUAGUUCCAACAGACAUGACAGCUCUACUUCUAGUUCCAACAGACUUGACAGCUCUGUUUCUAGUUCCAACAGACAUGACAGCUCUGUUUCUAGUUCCAACAGACAUGACAGCUCUGUUUCUAGUUCCAACAGACAUGACAGCUCUGCUUCUAGUUCCAACAGACAUGACAGCUCUGUUUCUAGUUCCAACAGACAUGGCAGCUCUGUUUCUAGUUCCAACAGACAUGGCAGCUCUGUUUCUAGUUCCAACAGACAUGACAGCUCUGCUUCUAGUUCCAACAGACAUGACAGCUCUACUUCUAGUUCCAACAGACAUGGCAGCUCUGUUUCUAGUUCCAACAGACAUGCCAGCUCUGUUUCUAGUUCCAACAGACAUGACAGCUCUACUUCUAGUUCCAACAGACAUGACAGCUCUGCUUCUAGUUCCAACAGACAUGACAGCUCUACUUCUAGUUCCAACAGACAUGACAGCUCUGUUUCUAGUUCCAACAGACAUGACAGCUCUACUUCUAGUUCCAACAGACAUGACAGCUCUGUUUCUAGUUCCAACAGACAUGACAGCUCUGCUUCUAGUUCCAACAGACAUGGCAGCUCUGUUUCUAGUUCCAACAGACAUGACAGCUCUCUUUCUAGUUCCAACAGACAUGGCAGCUCUACUUCUAGUUCCAACAGACAUGACAGCUCUACUUCUAGUUCCAACAGACAUGACAGCUCUGUUUCUAGUUCCAACAGACAUGGCAGCUCUGUUUCUAGUUCCAACAGACAUGACAGCUCUGUUUCUAGUUCCAACAGACAUGACAGCUCUACUUCUAGUUCCAACAGACAUGACAGCUCUGUUUCAGGUUCCAACAGACAUGACAGCUCUGCUUCUAGUUCCAACAGACAUGGCAGUUCUGUUUCUAGUUCCAACAGACAUGGCAGCUCUGUUUCUAGUUCCAACAGACAUGACAGCUCUGCUUCUAGUUCCAACAGACUUGACAGCUCUGUUUCUAGUUCCAACAGACAUGACAGCUCUGUUUCUAGUUCCAACAGACUUGACAGCUCUGCUUCUAGUUCCAACAGACAUGGCAGCUCUGUUUCUAGUUCCAACAGACAUGGCAGCUCUGUUUCUAGUUCCAACAGACAUGACAGCUCUGCUUCUAGUUCCAACAGACAUGACAGCUCUGCUUCUAGUUCCAACAGACAUGGCAGCUCUGCUUCUAGUUCCAACAGACAUGGCAGCUCUGUUUCUAGUUCCAACAGACAUGGCAGCUCUGUUUCUAGUUCCAACAGACAUGGCAGCUCUGUUUCUAGUUCCAACAGACAUGACAGCUCUGUUUCUAGUUCCUUAGCAACUUUGCAGUAUUAUUUUUUUUUUGUGUAUGUGAUGAGGUAAUAUCAUGUGCAAUAAUAAUGGCUCUAUAAGAGUGGUUAUGCAUCUAUUGGUUGGCAUAUAUUGUGUGCAAUUUGAGUCCAAUAUUUAUGUUCUAGAAAUGUGUAGUUAUGUUUCGGGUGUGUUUAAGCAGAGAGACAACUUUUCUGUGCGUCACACACACACACACACAUACGCCACACACACACACACACACACACACACACACACACCUCGUGUGUGAGUGCUAACGCGGGAUUGCAUCAAAAUUGUCUGUCAUCAAGUGCAUUCAGUCUACUUAUUCAUUCAUCCAUUCAUAUUUUUUAAGGGGCUAUUUUGUGAAUGAGAAGAUAUAAUCAGAUAAAUAAAAAUGUGUAUUUGUGCUUCUAUAUUAUUUUUUUUAUUUUUUUAUUUUUUAUUUAUUUCACCUUUAUUUAACCAGGUAGGCAAGUUGAGAACAAGUUCUCAUUUAUAAUUGCGACCUGGCCAAGAUAAAGCAAAGCAGUUCGACACAUUCAACGACAGAGUUACACAUGGAGUAAAACAAACAUACAGUCAAUAAUAUAGUAUAAACAAGUCUAUAUACGAUGUGAGCAAAUGAGGUGAGAUAAGGGAGGUAAAUGCAAAAAAAGGCCAUGGUGGCGAAGUAAAUACAAUAUAGCAAGUAAAACACUGAAAUGGUAGAUUUGCAAUGGAAGAAUGUGCAAAGUAGAAAUAAAAAUAAUGGGGUGCAAAGGAGCAAAAUAAAUAAAUAAAUUAAAUACAGUAGGGAAAGAGGUAGUUGUUUGGGCUAAAUUAUAGGUGGGCUAUGUACAGGUGCAGUAAUCUGUGAGCUGCUCUGACAGCUGGUGUUUAAAGUUGGUGAGGGAGAUAAGUGUUUCCAGUUUCAGAGAUUUUUGUAGUUCGUUCCAGUCAUUGGCAGCAGAGAACUGGAAGGAGAGGCGUCCAAAGAAAGAAUUGGUUUUGGGGGUGACUAGAGAGAUAUACCUGCUGGAGCGUGUGCUACAGGUGGGAGAUGCUAUGGUGACCAGCGAGCUGAGAUAAGGGGGGACUUUACCUAGCAGGGUCUUGUAGAUGACAUGGAGCCAGUGGGUUUGGCGACGAGUAUGAAGCGAGGGCCAGCCAACGAGAGCGUACAGGUCACAAUGGUAGGUAGAAUAUGAGGCUUUGGUGACAAAACGGAUUGCACUGUGAUAGACUGCAUCCAAUUUGUUGAGUAGGGUAUUGGAGGCUAUUUUGUAAAUGACAUCGCCAAAGUCGAGGAUUGGUAGGAUGGUCAGUUUUACAAGGGUAUGUUUGGCAGCAUGAGUGAAGGAUGCUUUGUUGCGAAAUAGGAAGCCAAUUCUAGAUUUAACUUUGGAUUGGAGAUGUUUGAUAUGGGUCUGGAAGGAGAGUUUACAGUCUAAUCAGACGCCUAAGUAUUUGUAGUUGUCCACGUAUUCUAAGUCAGAGCCGUCCAGAGUAGUGAUGUUGGACAGGCGGGCAGGUGCAGGUAGCGAUCGGUUGAAGAGCAUGCAUUUAGUUUUACUUGUAUUUAAGAGCAAUUGGAGGCCACGGAAGGAGAGUUGUAUGGCAUUGAAGCUUGCCUGGAGGGUUGUUAACACAGUGACCAAAGAAGGGCCAGAAGUAUACAGAAUGGUGUCGUCUGCGUAGAGGUGGAUCAGAGACUCACUAGCAGCAAGAGCGACCUCAUUGAUGUAUACAGAGAAGAGAGUCUGUCCAAGAAUUGAACCCUGUGGCACCCCCAUAGAGACUGCCAGAGGUCCGGACAGCAAACCCUCCGAUUUGACACACUGAACUCUAUCAGAGAAGUAGUUGGUGAACCAGGCGAGGCAAUCAUUUGAGAAACCAAGGCUGUCGAGUCUGCCGAUGAGGAUGUGGUGAUUGACAGAGUCGAAAGCCUUGGCCAGAUCAAUGAAUACGGCUGCACAGUAAUGUUUCUUAUCGAUGGCGGUUAAGAUAUCAUUUAGGACCUUGAGCGUGGCUGAGGUGCACCCAUGACCAGCUCUGAAACCAGAUUGCAUAGCAGAGAAGGUAUGGUGAGAUUCGAAAUGGUCGGUAAUCUGUUUGUUGACUUGGCUUUCGAAGAACUUAGAAAGACAGGGUAGGAUAGCUAUAGGUCUGUAGCAGUUUGGGUCAAGAGUGUCCCCCCCUUUGAAGAGGGGGAUGACCGCAGCUGCUUUCCAAUCUUUGGGAAUCUCAGACGACACGAAAGAGAGGUUGAACAGGCUAGUAAUAGGGGUGGCAACAAUUUCGGCAGAUAAUUUUAGAAAGAAAGGGUCCAGAUUGUCUAGCCCGGCUGAUUUGUAGGGGUCCAGAUUUUGCAGCUCUUUCAGAACAUCAUCUGAACGGAUUUGGGAGAAGGAGAAAUGGGGAAGGCUUGGGCGAGUUGCUGUUGGGGGUGCAGUGCUGUUGACCGGGGUAGGAGUAGCCAGGUGGAAACAUGGCCAGCUGUAGAAAAAUGCUUAUUGAAAUUCUCAAUUAUGGUGGAUUUAUCAGUGGUGACAGUGUUUCCUAUCUUCAGUGCAGUGGGCAGCUGGGAGGAGGUGUUCUUAUUCUCCAUGGACUUUACAGUGUCCCAGAACAUUUUUGAGUUAGUGUUGCAGGAAGCAAAUUUCUGCUUGAAAAAGCUAGCCUUAGCUUUUCUAACUGCCUGCGUAUAAUGGUUUCUAGCUUCCCUGAACAGCUGCAUAUCACGGGGGCUGUUCGAUGCUAAUGCAGAACGCCAUAGGAUGUUUUUGUGUUGGUUAAGGGCAGUCAGGUCUGGGGAGAACCAAGGGCUAUAUCUGUUCCUGGUUCUACAUUUCUUGAAUGGGGCGUGUUUAUUUAAGAUGGUUAGGAAGGCAUUUAAAAAAAAUAUUCACCACCUACAUCGCCAGAGGAACAGAGGAGGAGUAAAAUAAGGGUACGGCUAAAAGCAAUAAGAAUUGGUCGUCUAGAGCGUCUGGAACAGAGAGUAAAAGGAGGUUUCUGGGGGCGAUAAAAUAGCAUCAAGGUAUAAUGUACAGACAAAGGUAUGGUAGGAUGUGAAUACAGUGGAGGUAAACCUAGGUAUUGAGUGAUGAAGAGAGAGAUAUUGUCUCUAGAAACAUCAUUGAAACCAGGAGAUGUAAUUGCAUGUGUGGGUGGUGGAGCUAAAAGGUUGGAUAAGGUAUAGUGAGCAGGACUAGAGGCUCUACAGUGAAAUAAGCCAAUAAACACUAACCAGAACAGCAAUGGACAAGGCAUAUUGACAUUAAGGAGAGGCAUGCUUAGUCGAGUGAUCAAAAGGGUCCAGUGAGUAUAGAGGUUGUUUGGGGGUCACGGCGAUUUAGACAGCUAGCCAGGCCAUCGGUAGCAAGCUAGCAUAGGAUGGAGGUCUGUUAGCCACCUCUUGCGUUCCGUCAGUAUAUUAGUGGGGUUCCGUGUGGUAGAGGGGAUUAAUCCAAAUCACACAAAAAAAAAAAAAACAAUAGAUAUAGUUAUAGAGGCCCAAGAAGAAAAAAAUAAUAAAAAUAAAUAAAUAAAUUGUCCGAUUGACUAUUCAGAUAGCAGCCGAUAAGACAGCUAACGGUUAGCGGGCCGCAGAUGGGCGUUCAGGUAACGUCGCGACGGAGGACCUGAGCCCUAGGACCAUGCCCCAGGAAUACCUGACAUGAUGACUCCUUGCUGUCCCCAGUCCACCUGACUGUGCUGCUGCUCCAGUUUCAACUGUUCUGCCUUAUUAUUAUUCGACCAUGCUGGUCAUUUCUGAACAUUUGAACAUCUUGGCCAUGUUCUGUUAUAAUCUCCACCUGGCACAGCCAGAAGAGGACUGGCCACCCCACAUAGCCUGGUUCCUUUCUAGGUUUCUUCCUAGGUUUUGGCCUUUGUAGGGAGUUUUUCCUAGCCACCGUGCUUCUACACCUGCAUUGCUUGCUGUUUGGGGUUUUAGGCCGGGUACAGCACUUUGAGAUAUCAGCUGAUGUACGAAGGGUUAUAUAAAUAAAUUUGAUUUGAACUCCUUCGGGUAGAUAACGUUGGCAGUCCAGUUGUGAAGGCCCGGUGGGGCUCUGCGUAGGCAGUAAAACGGGUCCGGAUAGGUGAUUGUAGCCCAGGAGUGAUUGAUGGAAUUCUUCAGCUGGCUAGCUCCGGAAUAAUUGAUGUUUGCUCCGGAAUCGAUGAAAGCCGAUAGUCACACGGAUAGCAGCUAGCUAGCUGUGAGAUCCGGGUAUGAAUGUCCAGAGUUAGCGGUUGAAAUCCAGGGACAUGGAGAGAGAAAUUGGUCCGGUAUGUUCCGUUCCGAGUCGCGCUGCGCCGUACAAAACUGCCGAUAGAUUUUCGAGCUAAAGGAUAGCUGAUGACCUCAAACCGUGGUUAGCUGAAAACUAACGAUUAGCCAGUAAAGAAGCUAACUAACUUCUGAUUAGCUUCUGAUUAGCUUCUGAUUAGCUUCUGGAUUAGCUUCUGGAUUAGCUUCUGGAUUAGCUUCUGGCUAGCUUCUGGCUAGUUUCUGGCUAGCUUCUUGGAGGAUUACAAAUUUGAGGUAAAUAAUACUUUUUUAUAAAUAUAAAUUGGUGAGGCGGGUUGCAGGAGAGUGUUUUGAAGAUGAGUUUAUGGA